GCCCUUUAUUUAUAGUAUCAGUUUCUUCCUGUUAAAACAUGUACUUUCAUUCUGUCUAACUCUACCUUUCUAUCUAAAUAUCUGUGUUGUCUCUUUUUUAUCUGCUUUUAAAAACACAGGAUGUUCAUUGUUUGUCAACAGUUUUAGUACAUGAUGUGCUCUCUGUUCUAAAGAUGCCAUUUUAGUAUUCUAUCUACCUCUAAUAAUCAGACAAUAGCUGACAUGUAAUAAUGAAGUCUGCGUAAAAAUG
RNAcentral lists this long non-coding RNA (250 nucleotides) under Mytilus galloprovincialis (Mediterranean mussel). The record is from RNAcentral. Lineage: Eukaryota; Metazoa; Mollusca; Bivalvia; Mytilida; Mytilidae.